This 847-nucleotide ribosomal RNA is filed under the name Edwardsiella tarda. Its description in RNAcentral is "bacterial SSU rRNA". It matches the Rfam family "Bacterial small subunit ribosomal RNA", at positions 24 to 853 of the family's 1533-position model. The record is from RNAcentral. Lineage: Bacteria; Pseudomonadati; Pseudomonadota; Gammaproteobacteria; Enterobacterales; Hafniaceae.
UCAGAUUAUAGCGCGGCCGGGACGGCUCAACACACUCAAGAUCUAGCGUGAGAGUGGGGAGAAGCCUGCUUUUCUCGGCCGACGAGCGGCGGACGGGUGAGUAAUGUCUGGGGAUCUGCCUGAUGGAGGGGGAUAACUACUGGAAACGGUAGCUAAUACCGCAUAACGUCGCAAGACCAAAGUGGGGGACCUUCGGGCCUCAUGCCAUCAGAUGAACCCAGAUGGGAUUAGCUAGUAGGUGAGGUAAUGGCUCACCUAGGCGACGAUCCCUAGCUGGUCUGAGAGGAUGACCAGCCACACUGGAACUGAGACACGGUCCAGACUCCUACGGGAGGCAGCAGUGGGGAAUAUUGCACAAUGGGCGCAAGCCUGAUGCAGCCAUGCCGCGUGUAUGAAGAAGGCCUUCGGGUUGUAAAGUACUUUCAGUAGGGAGGAAGGUGUGCGUGUUAAUAGCACGUGCAAUUGACGUUACCUACAGAAGAAGCACCGGCUAACUCCGUGCCAGCAGCCGCGGUAAUACGGAGGGUGCAAGCGUUAAUCGGAAUUACUGGGCGUAAAGCGCACGCAGGCGGUUUGUUAAGUUGGAUGUGAAAUCCCCGGGCUUAACCUGGGAACUGCAUCCAAGACUGGCAAGCUAGAGUCUCGUAGAGGGAGGUAGAAUUCCAGGUGUAGCGGUGAAAUGCGUAGAGAUCUGGAGGAAUACCGGUGGCGAAGGCGGCCUCCUGGACGAAGACUGACGCUCAGGUGCGAAAGCGUGGGGAGCAAACAGGAGUAGAUACCCUGGUAGUCCACGCUGUAAACGAUGUCGAUAGGGAGGUUGUGCCCUUGAGGCGUGGCUUCCGAAGCU